AGUUAGGGUCAGGGUCAAGGCCAGUUAGGGUCAGGGUCAAUGCCAGUUAGGGUCAGGGUCAAGGCCAGUUAGGGUCAGGGUCAACGCCCGUUAGGGUCAACGCCAGUUAGGGUCAGGAUCAAUUCCAGUUAAGGUCAGGGUCAACGCCAGUUAGGGUCAACGCCAGUUAGGGUCAGGGUCAACGCCAGUUAGGGUCAGGGUCAACUCCAGUUAGGGUCAGGGUCAACGCCAGUUAGGGUCAACGCCAGUUAGUGUCGGGGCCAACACCAGUUAGGGUCAGGGUCAAGGCCAGUUAGGGUCAGGGUCAAGGCCAGUUAGGGUCAGGGUCAAGGCCAGUUAGGGUCGGGGCCAACGCCAGUUAGGGUCGGGGCCAAGGCCAGUUAGGGUCAGGGUCAAGGCCAGUUAGGGUCAGGGUCAAGGCCAGUUGGGGUCAGGGCCAAGGCCAGUUAGGGUCAGGGCCAAUGCCAGUUAGGUCAGGGUCAACGCCAGUUAGGGUCAGGGUCAAGGCCAGUUAUGGUCAGGGUCAAGGCUAGUUAGGGUCAUGGUCACUGCUAAUUAGGGCCAACGCCAGUUAGGGUCAACACCAGUUAGGGUCAGGGUCAACGCCAGUUAGGGUCAGGGUCAAUGCCAGUUAGGGUCAGGGUCAAUGCCAGUUAGGGUCAGGGUCAACGCCAGUUAGGGUCAGGGUCAACGCCAGUUAGGGUCAGGGUCAAGGCC
This is a long non-coding RNA of Oncorhynchus tshawytscha (Chinook salmon), 717 nucleotides long. The record is from Ensembl. Lineage: Eukaryota; Metazoa; Chordata; Actinopteri; Salmoniformes; Salmonidae.